Long non-coding RNA from Oncorhynchus gorbuscha (pink salmon), 857 nucleotides. RefSeq lists it as uncharacterized. NCBI's taxonomy places the organism in Eukaryota, Metazoa, Chordata, Actinopteri, Salmoniformes, Salmonidae. The record is from RefSeq and is a predicted model, not a curated record. The transcript is spliced from 6 exons.
CCACAAGCCCCUUCAGUACAAACAAACCAAAGGUCAAAGUGUACAUUUACGGUAGUUUCAGACAGAAUCUUCUGUAUAUCUGUUAAUAAGUCAGAGGGUGUAUAUUCAGAUAGGGAAGUCUACCUCUCCGUUUUCCUUCGCUCAGGUUGAUUGACAAUGGCGUCAGAGGAGACAGGUGUGCCUUUGGACUCAGCUGAGAACCUGGAGGACAGGAGAGCAUAGAGCUACAGAGGGGCCAAAGACAGAGGUCCCAGCCAGUCCCAGCCAAGAUAGACCUCAGGUGACAGCAGGCCAGGAAGAGGGAGCAGUUUUCUGUCAGUUCUUCCUGUUGGGAAAGUGUCGUUUUGGAAACAGGUGUCGUCGAUCUCACAGCACUCCAACAUUAGACAACCCAGAGGCUGUUAUAGACCAGGAAAACAGGAAGGAGGGAGAAAAAUAGGGAAAACUCAAGAAGAAAGCAAUAGGGAAUAAAACAAACCAGCCAAAAGACAGAGGGAAAAGGAUCAACCAAGAAGCCCCGCAUGCAUACAGCUGAUGACGUCAUCUCUCGGAUCCUGUGGGACCCGUCGGUGGAGCCGGCGGACUUUGUGGUGGGGUAUGUGGAGUGCUGGGGUGCUGGAGCGGCCCUUCUCUGAGUUCAACUGGGACACCGACCCCUGCGAUUGUGACAACUCCUCAGAGCUAGCCCUGCCCAGACACAGGAUUCAGUACUUCACCCAUAGAGGGCGUAGAUUCUGGGACCGCAACAACAGGACUGACAGGGAUCCACUGGACAGUGUCUGGCAGCCCCCUUUGGGCAGGAGGAGGAGCAAGAGGAUAAGAGAGGGCGAGGAGGAAGCAAGGGCGAGGGAGGGUGG